GUUCUGCAGUGGGUACGGGCCAGACUAGAGUGAUGUAGGGGAGACUGGAAUCCGUGGUGUAGCGGUGAAAUGCGCAGAUAUCAGGAGGAACACCGAUGGCGAAGACAGGUCUCUGGGCAUUAACUGACGCUGAGAGCGAAAGCAUGGGGAGCGAACAGGAUUAGAUACCCUGGUAGUCCAUGCCGUAAACGUUGGGCACUAGGUGUGGGGGACAUUCCACGUUUUCCGCGCCGUAGCUAACGCAUUAAGUGCCCCGCCUGGGGAGUACGGCCGCAAGGCUAAAACUCAAAGGAAUUGACGGGGGCCCGCACAAGCGGCGGAGCAUGCGGAUUAAUUCGAUGCAACGCGAAGAACCUUACCAAGGCUUGACAUGAACCGGUAAUACCUGGAAACAGGUGCCCCGCUUGCGGUCGGUUUACAGGUGGUGCAUGGUUGUCGUCAGCUCGUGUCGUGAGAUGUUGGGUUAAGUCCCGCAACGAGCGCAACCCUCGUUCUAUGUUGCCAGCGCGUUAUGGCGGGGACUCAUAGGAGACUGCCGGGGUCAACUCGGAGGAAGGUGGGGACGACGUCAAAUCAUCAUGCCCCUUAUGUCUUGGGCUUCACGCAUGCUACAAUGGCCGGUACAAAGGGUUGCGAUACUGUGAGGUGGAGCUAAUCCCAAAAAGCCGGUCUCAGUUCGGAUUGGGGUCUGCAACUCGACCCCAUGAAGUCGGAGUCGCUAGUAAUCGCAGAUCAGCAACGCUGCGGUGAAUACGUUCCCGGGCCUUGUACACACCGCCCGUCAAGUCACGAAAGUUGGUAACACCCGAAGCCGGUGCCCUACCCCUUGUGGGGGGAGCCGUCGA
Molecule: ribosomal RNA, 845 nt
Filed under: Arthrobacter sp. R50
Lineage: Bacteria; Bacillati; Actinomycetota; Actinomycetes; Micrococcales; Micrococcaceae
Description: bacterial SSU rRNA
Rfam family: Bacterial small subunit ribosomal RNA
Source: RNAcentral